RNAcentral lists this small nuclear RNA (164 nucleotides) under Cervus elaphus hippelaphus. Its description in RNAcentral is "U1 spliceosomal RNA". It matches the Rfam family "U1 spliceosomal RNA". Rfam says of the family: U1 is a small nuclear RNA (snRNA) component of the spliceosome (involved in pre-mRNA splicing). RNAcentral also lists the same sequence under 1 other name. Lineage: Eukaryota; Metazoa; Chordata; Mammalia; Artiodactyla; Cervidae. The record is from Rfam by way of RNAcentral.
AUACUUACCUGGCAGGGGAGAUACCAUGAUCACGAAGGUGGUUUUCCCAGGGCGAGGCUUAUCCAUUGCACUCCGAAUGUGCUGACCCCUGCGAUUUCCUCAAAUGUGGGAAACUCGACUGCAUAAUUUGUGGUAGUGGGGGACUGCGUUCGCGCUUUCCCCUG